CCCCCCUCACCCAACAGAAACGUAAACAGGAGCAAAGAAACAAACAGCCGAAAAUUAAUUUUAUCUUCAUCUUCUUCUCCUUCAUCUUAACAGAUUCAAUCUUUCUCUAUAAACCACCAAAAACACAGACCCAUGGCAACAUCCCACUAGAUCCAUCAUUAUCACAAUCAAACAUCCUGAUUUACCCCCUCUCUUUAUAUACGGGUUGGGUUUUGCACUCUUUUCUUCAAUAAUUCAGGUUCGUUCUUCUUCCAGAUUCGUGAUAUGCUGGAGAAUGAGGAGAAGAAUGAAAAUGCUGCCUUUGUUUCUUUCUGUGGGGAUAUUGACUUAACAACCUUCAGUGAGAAUCCAAAUUUGAAAGACACAUGGGCUCGUCAGGUUCGUGAUAUGCUGUAGAAUGAGGAGAAGAAUGAAAAUGCUGAAUUCCGAGUGAAGGAGGUUGAGUACAUUCAAGCAGAGGUGAAGAUAAUAAAGUGUCUAGUGGAAAACGUUGUGGUAGAUAUUUCAUUUAACCAACUUGGUGGACUGUUCACCCUUUGUUUCCUUGAAAAGGUUAGUGCUUUAUCCUAGAAAUUGUCUACUCCUUUUGUCCAAAUAUUAUGAUCCUUUUUCCGGACACUUCUGCUUUCCCAAAUUAUUAGUCUGUUAUUAGAAAAUCACUAAUCCUGCCAUGCCCUAUUCAUUAAGCAACCUAAAUCAAAACCAUCUUCUGGACUUAGCAAAUUAUUUCUUGAGGCUUGUAGUGCAAUAUAUGCUGUUUUACCUGUUGGACAAGAUAAUCAAAGGCAACCCUUUUUAUCCAAACACUUCAAUGUUAUUGAUCCUUUGCGUAUAAACAACAACCUGGGACACAGUGUCAGUAAAGGUAUACAAAUAGAACUCUACUAUGCUGUUUGCCAUCAAGUUAAAUGUCAUUUGAAUACCUCUGCUUUUUAACGUUCCAAAUUUUAUCAAGCAAGGAAUACAAGCCGGCAACUAUUGUAUUCCUAUUUCUCCUAGAAUUAACUGGUGUUUGUUUCCAGUAGAGUAUUGAAGGUUCUUUUUACAUUCCAGCAAGAGUCCCAUUCCAGCAUGCCUCGACGAGGAUCCAUAUUAGAUUCUAGGAGUGACAGGUCCACUUCAUCCAAAUCAUUUCAAAAGGAGAUAAAGAAAAAAGAAGAGGAGAUAAAGAAAAAAGAUGAUUUUAUUUUUGAAAUGAAACGGCAGAUGGAUUCCAUGAAAGAAUAUCUUAUGAACAAUCUUGGAUAUCAUGGUGGGACAUCAAAUAUUGAUCAAGGUAUGCCAGCACCCAUGGCCCCAUCAAUGCCGCCGCCUAUGGCUCCCCAGAUAAUGACAUCUAUGGGUCCCACAUCUCCACCAAUUUAUUGACCUGAACCUCAACCACUAUAAACCUGAUUCAUCUUACGUCGAUCCACAAUACCAUGAUUGUAUCUUUUGAUUGUAUCUUUUUAUUGUAUUUUGACUUAUUUGCAUUAAUGCAAGUUUAACUAAAUUUUUAUGCUAUGAAUUUUAUUUUUAUUCCAUUUA
Populus nigra (black poplar) is the source of this 1527-nucleotide long non-coding RNA. RefSeq lists it as uncharacterized. The transcript is spliced from 4 exons. Lineage: Eukaryota; Viridiplantae; Streptophyta; Magnoliopsida; Malpighiales; Salicaceae. The record is from RefSeq and is a predicted model, not a curated record.